This 497-nucleotide ribosomal RNA is filed under the name uncultured bacterium. RNAcentral's name for it is "partial 16S ribosomal RNA". It matches the Rfam family "Bacterial small subunit ribosomal RNA", at positions 28 to 507 of the family's 1533-position model. The record is from RNAcentral.
GAUGAACGCUGGCGGCGUGCCUAAUACAUGCAAGUCGAGCGAACAGACGAGGAGCUUGCUUCUCUGACGUUAGCGGCGGACGGGUGAGUAACACGUGGAUAACCUACCUAUAAGACUGGGAUAACUUCGGGAAACCGGAGCUAAUACCGUAUAAUAUUUUGAACCGCAUGGUUCAAUAGUGAAAGACGGUCUUGCUGUCACUUAUAGAUGGAUCCGCGCUGCAUUAGCUAGUUGUUAAGUUAACGGCUUUCCAAGGCAACGAUGCAUAGCCGACCUGAGAGGGGGAUCGGCGACCCUGGAGCUGAGACAGGGUCCAGACUCCUACGGGAGGCAGCAGUAGGGAAUCGUCCGCAAUGGGCGGAAGCCUGACGGAGCAACGCCGCGUGAGUGAUGAAGGUCUUCGGAUCGUAAAACUCUGUUAUUAGGGAAGAACAGAUGUGUAAGUAAAUGUGCACGUCUUGACGGUAACUAAUCAGAAAGCCACGGCUAACUACGUG